CAGUCGCCGCGGGAAUACGUAGGUCCCGAGCGUUGUCCGGAUUUAUUGGGCGUAAAGCGAGCGCAGGCGGUUAGAUAAGUCUGAAGUUAAAGGCUGUGGCUUAACCAUAGUACGCUUUGGAAACUGGGAAACUUGAGUGCAGAAGAGGAGAGCGGAAUUCCACGUGUAGCGGUGAAAUGCGUAGAGAUGUGGAGGAACACCAGUGGCGAAGGCGACUCUCUGGUCUGUAACUGACGCUGAGGAGCGAAAGCGUGGGGAGCGAACAGGAUUAGAUACCCCGGUAGUCCCUGUCUCUUAUACA
RNAcentral lists this ribosomal RNA (301 nucleotides) under uncultured bacterium. Its description in RNAcentral is "partial 16S ribosomal RNA". It matches the Rfam family "Bacterial small subunit ribosomal RNA", at positions 509 to 808 of the family's 1533-position model. The record is from RNAcentral.